RNAcentral lists this small RNA (125 nucleotides) under Marmota monax (woodchuck). Lineage: Eukaryota; Metazoa; Chordata; Mammalia; Rodentia; Sciuridae. The record is from RNAcentral.
GCAAGGUGUGGAGGUGCACACCUGUAAUACCAGCCACCGGGGAGGCUGAGGCAGGAGGAUCGCGAGUUCAAAGCCAGCCUCGGCAACAGUAAGGUACUAAGCAACUCAGGGAGACCCUGUCUCUA